RNAcentral lists this ribosomal RNA (594 nucleotides) under uncultured bacterium. RNAcentral's name for it is "bacterial SSU rRNA". It matches the Rfam family "Bacterial small subunit ribosomal RNA", at positions 102 to 692 of the family's 1533-position model. The record is from RNAcentral.
ACGGGUGAGUAAUAUAUCGGAACGUGCCCAAUCGUGGGGGAUAACGUAGAGAAAUUUACGCUAAUACCGCAUACGAUCUAAGGAUGAAAGCGGGGGAUCGCAAGACCUCGCGCGAUUGGAGCGGCUGAUAUCAGAUUAGGUUGUUGGUGAGGUAAAGGCUCACCAAGCCGACGAUCUGUAGCUGGUUUGAGAGAACGACCAGCCACACUGGGACUGAGACACGGCCCAGACUCCUACGGGAGGCAGCAGUGGGGAAUUUUGGACAAUGGGCGAAAGCCUGAUCCAGCAAUGCCGCGUGCAGGAAGAAGGCCUUCGGGUUGUAAACUGCUUUUGUACGGAACGAAACGGCUCUUUCUAAUAAAGAGGGCUAAUGACGGUACCGUAAGAAUAAGCACCGGCUAACUACGUGCCAGCAGCCGCGGUAAUACGUAGGGUGCGAGCGUUAAUCGGAAUUACUGGGCGUAAAGCGUGCGCAGGCGGUUAUAUAAGACAGUUGUGAAAUCCCCGGGCUCAACCUGGGAAUUGCAUCUGUGACUGUAUAGCUAGAGUACGGUAGAGGGGGAUGGAAUUCCGCGUGUAGCAGUGAAAUGCGUA